Molecule: transfer RNA, 72 nt
Filed under: Trichonephila inaurata madagascariensis
Lineage: Eukaryota; Metazoa; Arthropoda; Arachnida; Araneae; Nephilidae
Rfam family: tRNA
About the family: Transfer RNA (tRNA) molecules are approximately 80 nucleotides in length. Their secondary structure includes four short double-helical elements and three loops (D, anti-codon, and T loops).
Source: Rfam by way of RNAcentral
UCCUCGGUAGUAUAGUGGUCAGUAUCCCCGCCUGUCACGCGGGAGACCGGGGUUCGAUUUCUCGCCGGGGAG